GUGCUCACUUUGGCAGCACAUAUACUAAAAUUGAAAAAAUACAGAGAAGAUGAACAUAGCCCCUGCGUAAGGAUGACACACAAAUUCAUGAAACAUUCCAUAUUUUU
Molecule: small nuclear RNA, 107 nt
Organism: Monodelphis domestica (gray short-tailed opossum)
Lineage: Eukaryota; Metazoa; Chordata; Mammalia; Didelphimorphia; Didelphidae
Source: Ensembl